Long non-coding RNA from Oncorhynchus tshawytscha (Chinook salmon), 5340 nucleotides. Lineage: Eukaryota; Metazoa; Chordata; Actinopteri; Salmoniformes; Salmonidae. The record is from Ensembl.
UCCAGGCUAAUCCUAACAGUGAGGAGAUAUGGUUGGCUGCUGUGAAGCUAGAGUCUGAGAAUAAUGAAAAUGAAACCCGUCGGCUACUGGCCAAGGAUGUAGCAGUGCUCCUACUUCCAGGGUUGGAGUUUGUGAGACUGGGGUUCAGGACAUGGCUGAAGAACAUCGGCAACACACUGAUGGCUAAAGCCCUACAGGAGUGCCCCAGCAGGUAUAUUGUGGGCUGAGGCAGUGUUUUUUGAGGGCCUGCCACAGAGGAAGACGAAGAGUGUUGAUGCUCUGAUGAAGUGUGAACACAUCCUGCUCGACGUUGCCAAGAACGACACACAUUAUUUUUCUCUCUCAAAAUCUCUCCUUCUCUUGCCUCUACUUUUCACUGUUAUACUUAUGACAUCCUUCCCCUUUUGUACUACCUCAGUAGGUCAAACUCUCCCCCUCUCUGCUUUCAUUCUUUCAGGAGGACAAACUCUCCCUCUCUCUGCUUUCAUUCCUUCAGGAGGACAAACUCUCCCUCUCUCUGCUUUCAUUUCUUCAGUAGGUCAAACUCUCCCUCGCUCUGCUUUCAUUCCUUCAGGAGGACAAACUCUCCCUCUCUCUGCUUUCAUUCCUUCAGUAGGUCAAACUCUCCCUCUCUCUGCUUUCAUUCCUUCAGUAGGACAAACUCUCCCUCUCUCUGCUUUCAUUCCUUCAGUAGGACAAACUCUCCCUCUCUCUGCUUUCAUUCCUUCAGUAGGACAAACUCCUCCUUGCUUUAUCCUUACCAGGGUUGGGAUCAAUUCCAUUUAAAUUCCAGUCAAUUCAGGAAGCAAUUCCACAUUUUCCUAAUUGAGAAGCAUUGGAUAGAAUUGGAAUUGGAACUGAAUUGACUGGAAUGGAAAUGGAGUUGACCCCAACCCUGAUCCUUACUAUUACCAACUCCUUCCUUCUUCCUUGUUUUCAAUCUACCAGUACAACACAUGCCCACUAUCUCUUCUCUCUCAACAUCUUAGUCAGAAUUUGAUGAGUAAACAGCCCAUGUGUGUGUGGGGGGGUUCUGGAGCGAGUGUAAGCUUACUAAGGCCAGAGUGGUUCCCGAGGACAGUGAAGGUUGACCUGGGAGACACCUGGGCCCUCUUCUACAGUUUGAGAUGCAACACGGCACCGAGGGGCAGCAGGAGGAAGUACAUAAGCACUGUGAGAACACUGAGCCGUGUCACCGGGAGCUGUGGUGUGCUGAGUCCAAACAGGUCCUCCACUGGCUGGCAGAAGAAGAUAGGAGAGAUCCUCACACAGGUCGCCUUCUGAGGCAUAGGCUGGACAGACGGAAACUGUGUUUCUGACUCCAUGUCCCUCUGUCCAAUAACCACGGACACACACCCCAAGUUCUCUCAUCUUUUAAAGUCAUAGAGAGUAGCAGUCUAUUUGGACACACACACAUGCUUGGCGUGACGAGAGUUGACAAUGGUUCACGAGCAGUACAGAAUAUUUGCAUAUUUGCAAUGUUUACAGCAUGUGAAAGCACGUUGGGAAAAGGAGAACAAAAACUGGGCAUUUUGUUUAACUUUAUUUUUAUUGAAUUGUGAAAUGUCAUGUCCUCCAUUGAAUCAGAAAAUGCUGCUAUAUAUAUUUUUGAAUGCCUUUUAAAGACUGUUUAUACCCGUGGGUAUGCUUAGAGCAGACAGUUACCUGAUACCAGCUCUGUUAAGACAUUUGUUAAUAUGACAAUUUGACCAUGGUGUUGUUUUUUUAUCCUCUGUAAAUCCUCUGUAAAACAAUGUUUAAUUUGCUCGAUCGAGAUGUACGCCAUACAUAGGUAGUAGGGCUGGAAUUGCCAGGGACCUCACAAUAAAAUAUUAUAACGAUACUUAGGUGCCUAUACAACAUGCAUUGAGGAUCUCACGAUUCUAUAUGUAUUGUGAUUCGAUAUUGUGAUUUGAUGUUCCACAUGUAUUGCGCAUUAUGUCUGCUGCAGAGAGACAAGAGACAGAGCAUGAGAAAACGUCAGGGAUUAUUACUAAUGGAUACGAUAAGAAAGACUCUGAUUACAAGUAAGUCAGCUGGAGCUUCACAUUUACUCACGCUAGUCAGUACAAGAAUAACAUUGAGCAACACUGUGCUCCGUUCUUAAAGGGGACAUCAGGACAUAACAUCCCAUCUCUUAUACAAUCAGAGUUAUUUUUACCAAACCACAACUGAAACAUUUCCCAGAACUUGCUGUAGUUAUUUUGCAUCUUUGAUUUGAACUUGAACAGUCUUGGUUUUGUUUGUCUAUAAGUCCAGCCGGUCUGGUGGCGCCUUGGAUUGUCUGGAGGCUCCUGCACAUCCUCAGUGUGUGCUUGCUCCAUUAUAGCUUCUACUAUAGCAGCACAUUCAUCCACACAUUCUUUACGCCUAAGGUCUCUGUACUGCCCCACUGUCCUCUACAGUUCUCCGUGUGUCACUCUCGGGAUCUCUCUUUGCCUGUUCUCUCUUGAUUGUUGUGCUGUUUUCCGUGGAAUGCAUUUGGUUAAUGUAACGCCGCCACAUUAUGUCAGGGCUCACUUGAAUCUGGUAAGUUCUGGGUCCCUGCUUGUGCGUGUACAGUCCCUCUUGUCCUUUAACCUCCCUUUCUGUAGUAUCGCACCAUCACAUCCUGUCCAUGAAACAAGGCGUAUCGCUGUAACCUGUCAUUGCCGGAAUUACUUUUUUUGGACUAAAAUGGAAAACAACAGCUGGUGAUCCGUAAACCAGAGUGAAACGCUUCCCAUAUAAGUAUGCAUGGAAGUUAUUGACACCCAACACUCGCGCCAGUGCAUUAUUCAAUGUUUGUGAUGCAAAGGCAACUGGCGUCUCAGACCCAUCUUUCAGUGUGUUUGAAAGCCCCUAAGCAAUACGGGGACGCAUCACAAGUCAACUUCACUGGCAGUUCAGGGUCGUAAUGCAUCAGGACCUGUUCAGAUUUGAUGAGCCAUUUUGCCUCCAUUUUCACACUGUUCUGUCCACUGAUAUGUCAUAUUCUUUUGCAGGAGCUGAUUGAGGGGCUGGAGUGCUGCUGAAAGGUUUGGGAGGAAUCUCCUGUAGUAAUUGGUCAGUCCAGUGAAAGGUCUCACUUCUAUCACAUUUUGCGGUCGCCGUGGUGCCUGUACCACUGCAUCAAUUUUGUCCUGUGUUUUGUGCGGUCGAUUGCAUGUCCACAGAAUGCUAUCUUGUUUUUUUACUGAAGUGUUUACCACCAGCUAGUGCAGCAAAGAUGUCCUCCAGACGUGGCAGGGGGCAUUGGUCCACACGGAACAUUGAAUUCACAGUUACCUUGAAGUCCCCACACAUUCUAACAGACCCGUCUUUCUUUACAAUAGGAACAAUGGGUGCAGCCCAUUUGCUUCUGUCCACUUUUGUCAGGAUCCCAAUCAAUUUCCGCUUCCACCUUUGGUCUCAGGGAGUAUGGAACCGAUCUAGCUUUGCAUAAUAUUGGGGAUGCAUUACCUCUCAGUACGAGUUUGGCUGUGAUGCCUUUUACUGUUCCCAUCAGAUCAGCGAAAACAAUGUUGUAUAUGUUUGGUCUGUGCCUUUCUCUUUAGGCAAGGGAGUGUGGAGCAUUUUCAAGUCACGUCAGUUCAGCUAGAAUGGUGGGCUGUUCCAGGCAUCAGAUACAGCUGUAACUGCUGUGUUUGCUCCCCAUAUCGCACACUGACCUGCAACGCCCCCAUUGGGCUCAAUCUGUCUCCUGAGUAUGUCUUCAGCAACACAUUUGUUUUCUUCAGCUUGAUAGCCUUGAAGUGCUCAGGGGUGUGCCUUCGAUAUCUGGUGUCACCCAUAUUAUGCUACUGCUGGGAGAAGUCACUGUGUUUAACUCCAUUGUACCAAUUAACCGUUGAUCUGAAUCACUGCCACUGUUCUCUGCUAGUGCAUUCACAGACCCUUUCAUUUUCUCAGUUUUCCUGUUGUGACUGCAUUUUGCUCUGCAUGCUCUUUGAAUGUGAUCCCGUCUAUUGAAUUUGUGACAAAUUCCGUCUUUGAAACAGCAGUCCUCUGCUUUGUGACCAUCUCUGUCACACCUGUGGUAUUUUCCGGCCACACGGGGGCACUGUCUGCUGCGUGAACUUGUGCAGGGAAGUUUGUGAAGAGGUCAGUAUUUAUUUUACUUUGCAACUCUAUUGCAUCUUUGGUCACCAUUUCCAUAGCCACAGCAAUUUCAACAGCCUUUUCAAAUGUGAGAUCUGAUUCUGUGAACAAACAUUUCUGAAUGUAUUCAUCUUUUAGUCCACAGUAGAAUCUAUCCCUUACUUAAUGUGUCAUUUAGGUUCUCUACAAACUCCAAACUCCAAACAGUUUCUUCAACUCUGCUAUAUACAGUACCAGUCAAAGGUUUGGACACACCUACUUAUUCAAGGGUUUUUUGUUAUUUUCACUAUUAUCUACAUUGUAGAAUAAUAGUGAAGACAUCAAACUAUUGAAAUAACACAUAUGGAAUAAUGUAGUAACCAAAAAAAGUGUUAAACAAAUCAAACAAGUCUCUUCAUCUUAGCAGUGGUUUCUUUGCAGCAAUUAGACCAUGAUGGCCUGAUUAACCCAGUCUCCUCUGAACAGUUGAUGUUGAGAUGUGUCUGUUACCUGAACUCUGUGAAGCAUUUAUUUGGGCUGCAAUUUCUGAGGCUGAACAUAUCCUCUGCAGCAGAGGUAACUCUUGGUCUUCCUUUCCUGUGGCGAUCCUCACGGGAGCCAAUUUCAUUAUAGCGCUUGAUGGUUCUUGCGACUGCACUUCAAGAAACUUUAAAAGUUCUUGAAAAAUUUCCGGGUUGACUGACCUUCAAGUCUUACAGUAAUGAAGGACUGUCAUUUUUCUUUGCUUAUUUGAGCUGUUCUUGCCAUGAUACGGACUUGGUAUUUUACCAAAUAGGGCUAUCUUCUGUACACCACCCCUACCUUGUCUGUCACCGUAGAAAGCGUUGUAUGUGUCUAUUUUGUUUUGGUCAGGGUGUGAAUUGGGUGGGCAGUCUAUGUUCUAUGUUCUAUGAUCUUCUAUUUCUAUGUGUUUGGCCGGGUGUGGUUCUCAAUCAGAGGCAGCUGUCUAUCGUUGUCUCUGAUUGAGAACCAUACUUCGGUACCCUUUUGCCCCACCUGUUUUGUGGGAAGUUGACUUUGACUUUGUUCAGGGAGCAUAGCCCAAAGGUUCACGAUUUGGUUUUGUUCUUUGUUUUGUCGGCAUCAUUUUUAAUAAAGAGAAAAUGUACACUUACCAUGCUGCACCAUGGUCCAGUCCUUCAGCCAGCCGUGACAUUGUCACAACACAACUGAUUGGCUCAAAUGCAUUAAGAAGGAAAGAAAUUCCACAAAUUAACUUUUAACAAGUGUCGUGGAAAUUCAGUAAUAAGAGAGAUGUGG